UAUCAUCAAGUAUGUAACCAUUCACGGUAUAAUGAUUUAAAAUUGAGAAAAUCGCAUGCUUCGACCAAAAAUAUACAACCAAAAACAAAGUUAAAAUGGGUCAAAAUUAAUAAAAGUGGAUGAUCAUGUCUUCAACCCUCCCGGCUGCCUCUGACGAAGAAUUUAAGAAAACUCU
Juglans microcarpa x Juglans regia is the source of this 175-nucleotide long non-coding RNA. RefSeq lists it as uncharacterized. NCBI's taxonomy places the organism in Eukaryota, Viridiplantae, Streptophyta, Magnoliopsida, Fagales, Juglandaceae. The transcript has 2 exons. The record is from RefSeq and is a predicted model, not a curated record.